This 228-nucleotide unclassified non-coding RNA is filed under the name Hevea brasiliensis (rubber tree). The record is from RNAcentral. Lineage: Eukaryota; Viridiplantae; Streptophyta; Magnoliopsida; Malpighiales; Euphorbiaceae.
UAAUCAAGUUGGAUCAUUGAAGUUAUAAGAGGCAUAUAAGACAUUUGAUUGUCUUUAGUAUAAAACAUAAUAGAGGCACAAAAACACACAAAAAUGCUUGCUGAAUUUAAAGAAAAAGGGGAGGUGUUGUUAAGGCUUCAAAGCUUAAAGGGCAUCCAUAUCCAUCAUUUAACAAUCAUAAUAGCUGUUAGCUAUACUUUUUGUUUUCUCUCUAUUAAAUAAUGGCAG